RNAcentral lists this ribosomal RNA (496 nucleotides) under uncultured bacterium. RNAcentral's name for it is "partial 16S ribosomal RNA". It matches the Rfam family "Bacterial small subunit ribosomal RNA", at positions 29 to 507 of the family's 1533-position model. The record is from RNAcentral.
AUGAACGCUGGCGGCGUGCCUCAUACAUGCCAGUCGCGCGAACAGACGAGGAGCUUGCUCCUCUGACGUUAGCGGCGGACGGGUGAGUAACACGUGGAUAACCUACCUAUAAGACUGGGAUAACUUCGGGAAACCGGAGCUAAUACCGGAUAAUAUAUUGAACCGCAUGGUUCAAUAGUGAAAGACGGUUUUGCUGUCACUUAUAGAUGGAUCCGCGCCGCAUUAGCUAGUUGGUAAGGUAACGGCUUACCAAGGCAACGAUGCGUAGCCGACCUGAGAGGGUGAUCGGCCACACUGGAACUGAGACACGGUCCAGACUCCUACGGGAGGCAGCAGUAGGGAAUCUUCCGCAAUGGGCGAAAGCUUGACGGAGCAACGCCGCGUGAGUGAUGAAGGUCUUCGGAUCGUAAAACUCUGUUAUUAGGGAAGAACAAAUGUGUAAGUAACUAUGCACGUCUUGACGGUACCUAAUCAGAAAGCCACGGCUAACUACGUG